Molecule: ribosomal RNA, 468 nt
Filed under: uncultured bacterium
Lineage: Bacteria
Description: partial 16S ribosomal RNA
Rfam family: Bacterial small subunit ribosomal RNA
Source: RNAcentral
GACGAACGCUGGCGGCGUGCUUAACACAUGCAAGUCGAACGGAAAGGCCCUGCUUUUGUGGGGUGCUCGAGUGGCGAACGGGUGAGUAACACGUGAGUAACCUGCCCUUGACUUUGGGAUAACUUCAGGAAACUGGGGCUAAUACCGGAUAGGAGCUCCUGCUGCAUGGUGGGGGUUGGAAAGUUUCGGCGGUUGGGGAUGGACUCGCGGCUUAUCAGCUUGUUGGUGGGGUAGUGGCUUACCAAGGCUUUGACGGGUAGCCGGCCUGAGAGGGUGACCGGCCACAUUGGGACCGAGAUACGGCCCAGACUCCUACGGGAGGCAGCAGUGGAGAAUAUUGCACAAUGGGCGGAAGCCUGAUGCAGCAACGCCGCGUGCGGGAUGACGGCCUUCGGGUUGUAAACCGCUUUCGCCUGUGACGAAGCGUGAGUGACGGUAAUGGGUAAAGAAGCACCGGCUAACUACGUG